GGUUCCAUAGAGUAGUAUGUCUGCUUUACACUCAGAAGGUCCUGGGUUCGAGCCCCAGUGGAGCCA
Molecule: transfer RNA, 66 nt
Filed under: Pteropus alecto (black flying fox)
Lineage: Eukaryota; Metazoa; Chordata; Mammalia; Chiroptera; Pteropodidae
Also listed under: 1 other name
Rfam family: tRNA
About the family: Transfer RNA (tRNA) molecules are approximately 80 nucleotides in length. Their secondary structure includes four short double-helical elements and three loops (D, anti-codon, and T loops). Further hydrogen bonds mediate the characteristic L-shaped molecular structure. tRNAs have two regions of fundamental functional importance: the anti-codon, which is responsible for specific mRNA codon recognition, and the 3' end, to which the tRNAs corresponding amino acid is attached (by aminoacyl-tRNA synthetases). tRNAs cope with the degeneracy of the genetic code in two manners: having more than one tRNA (with a specific anti-codon) for a particular amino acid; and 'wobble' base-pairing, i.e. permitting non-standard base-pairing at the 3rd anti-codon position.
Source: Rfam by way of RNAcentral